GGCUUAGAAGCAGCCAUCAUUUAAAGAAAGCGUAAUAGCUCACUGGUCGAGUCGGCCUGCGCGGAAGAUGUAACGGGGCUAAACCAUGCACCGAAGCUGCGGCAGCGACACUGUGUGUUGUUGGGUAGGGGAGCGUUCUGUAAGCCUGUGAAGGUGUGUCGUGAGGCAUGCUGGAGGUAUCAGAAGUGCGAAUGCUGACAUAAGUAACGAUAAAGCGGGUGAAAAGCCCGCUCGCCGGAAGACCAAGGGUUCCUGUCCAACGUUAAUCGGGGCAGGGUGAGUCGACCCCUAAGGCGAGGCCGAAAGGCGUAGUCGAUGGGAAACGGGUUAAUAUUCCCGUACUUGGUGUUACUGCGAAGGGGGGACGGAGAAGGCUAUGUUGGCCGGGCGACGGUUGUCCCGGUUUAAGCGUGUAGGUGUGUGUUCCAGGUAAAUCCGGUUCACUUUAACACUGAGGCGUGACGACGAGGCACUACGGUGCUGAAGCAACAAAUGCCCUGCUUCCAGGAAAAGCCUCUAAGCAUCAGGUAACAUCAAAUCGUACCCCAAACCGACACAGGUGGUCAGGUAGAGAAUACCAAGGCGCUUGAGAGAACUCGGGUGAAGGAACUAGGCAAAAUGGUGCCGUAACUUCGGGAGAAGGCACGCUGACACGUAGGUGAAGUGAUUUACUCAUGGAGCUGAAGUCAGUCGAAGAUACCAGCUGGCUGCAACUGUUUAUUAAAAACACAGCACUGUGCAAACACGAAAGUGGACGUAUACGGUGUGACGCCUGCCCGGUGCCGGAAGGUUAAUUGAUGGGGUCAGCGCAAGCGAAGCUCCUGAUCGAAGCCCCGGUAAACGGCGGCCGUAACUAUAACGGUCCUAAGGUAGCGAAAUUCCUUGUCGGGUAAGUUCCGACCUGCACGAAUGGCGUAAUGAUGGCCAGGCUGUCUCCACCCGAGACUCAGUGAAAUUGAACUCGCUGUGAAGAUGCAGUGUACCCGCGGCAAGACGGAAAGACCCCGUGAACCUUUACUAUAGCUUGACACUGAACAUUGAGCCUUGAUGUGUAGGAUAGGUGGGAGGCUUUGAAGUGUGGACGCCAGUCUGCAUGGAGCCGACCUUGAAAUACCACCCUUUAAUGUUUGAUGUUCUAACGUGGACCCGUUACCCGGGUUGCGGACAGUGUCUGGUGGGUAGUUUGACUGGGGCGGUCUCCUCCUAAAGAGUAACGGAGGAGCACGAAGGUUGGCUAAUCCUGGUCGGACAUCAGGAGGUUAGUGCAAUGGCAUAAGCCAGCUUGACUGCGAGCGUGACGGCGCGAGCAGGUGCGAAAGCAGGUCAUAGUGAUCCGGUGGUUCUGAAUGGAAGGGCCAUCGCUCAACGGAUAAAAGGUACUCCGGGGAUAACAGGCUGAUACCGCCCAAGAGUUCAUAUCGACGGCGGUGUUUGGCACCUCGAUGUCGGCUCAUCACAUCCUGGGGCUGAAGUAGGUCCCAAGGGUAUGGCUGUUCGCCAUUUAAAGUGGUACGCGAGCUGGGUUUAGAACGUCGUGAGACAGUUCGGUCCCUAUCUGCCGUGGGCGCUGGAGAACUGAGGGGGGCUGCUCCUAGUACGAGAGGACCGGAGUGGACGCAUCACUGGUGUUCGGGUUGUCAUGCCAAUGGCACUGCCCGGUAGCUAAAUGCGGAAGAGAUAAGUGCUGAAAGCAUCUAAGCACGAAACUUGCCCCGAG
This 1717-nucleotide ribosomal RNA is filed under the name Salmonella enterica. RNAcentral's name for it is "partial 23S ribosomal RNA". It matches the Rfam family "Bacterial large subunit ribosomal RNA", at positions 1103 to 2803 of the family's 2925-position model. Lineage: Bacteria; Pseudomonadati; Pseudomonadota; Gammaproteobacteria; Enterobacterales; Enterobacteriaceae. The record is from RNAcentral. RNAcentral also lists the same sequence under 1 other name.